AUAUAUAUAUAUAUAAUUGAGCUAGAAUAUUUUUAGAAGCACUAACUUUUUGGUGUUUUUAGAUUUCUAGCCCUUGAAUUUACUCCUUGAUUAUUAAUAGUUUUUGAAUUAAAUACUAUUUCACCUAUCAUCAUCUACCACUAUCUAUCACCAUCAUCUCAAUCUUAUAUCUCUCCAUCUAAUGGCUAAAAACUCAAAAACACCACCCUCUUGAUGCUUUCGACAGUAUUCUAGCUCAACUAUAUAUAUAUAUAUAUAUAUAUAGAGCUAGGCUGCUAUACUAUCGGUAGCACGGACGUCUCCGUGCUACCAAGUUGUUUUCAAUGAUGCCGCUUCCAAAUCGACGAUCGGCUCCGUUAGACUUGAUAUACACUAUUGAAAACAUUUGGAAACUAAAUUUCAUAAUUUUUUGGUAUCAUUUACCUAUCAAACGAGUAGUCUAAAAAUGAACGGCUGAAAAUAAAAAUCUCAUAAACAAUGAUGAUAGAAGAUUUGAAUUUAAGAUCAGAGAUACUGAUCUUACUCUAAAUAGUAAAAAGAAUUUUCUAUAAAAAUUUCAUCUGAUUUGGAUUGUUUUACACCGUUAAAUUUACAAAUACAUCACAUCUACCAUUAAAAUUGUCAAUUUUGAGAUCUUUUGAUCACUAGCCAAAUGAUGUCGAAAAAUUCUGAAAUUUAGUUUCCAAAUACGUUCAAUGGUGUAGAUCACGUCUAACGGAGCGGAUUGUCGAUUUGGAAGCCGCAUCAUCGAAAACAACUUGAUAGCACGGAAGUCUCCGUGCUACCGAUAGUAUAGCAGCCGGACUCUAUAUAUAUAUAUAUA
RNAcentral lists this long non-coding RNA (823 nucleotides) under Ananas comosus (pineapple). RNAcentral describes it as "long non-coding RNA (ACOM_LNC006621)". The record is from RNAcentral. Lineage: Eukaryota; Viridiplantae; Streptophyta; Magnoliopsida; Poales; Bromeliaceae.